RNAcentral lists this long non-coding RNA (3602 nucleotides) under Homo sapiens (human). RNAcentral describes it as "HSALNT0228214". Lineage: Eukaryota; Metazoa; Chordata; Mammalia; Primates; Hominidae. The record is from RNAcentral.
AGUCCCUCCUGGAGAUGAAGAAAGAGUUCAGUCACCCUGCUGAGGAGAGAAAAGGCCAUUAUUGUCAAAAGAAGGCACCUGUCCUAGAUUUAAGGGAGGUGCGUUAUCCUGGAUGGUUUCUAGGCCUCAGUGGGAUGGUCUGAUGACUUCGUCUCACCCCCCAGGUACCUAGGAAGGUGAUGAAUGUGAAGGUGGAUUCUUCAUGGAGCUCCACACUCAGGAUCUGACUCAAGCUAUACUCCAUAUUUAUUGGAAGCCAGUUACUAAGACCCGCUUACACUCAAAAGGAGUGGAAUCGAGACAGGGUUUCGCCAUGUUGCUAAGGCUGGUCUUGAACUCUCGGACUCAAGUGAUCCUCCUGCCUCAGCCUCCCAAAGUGCUGGGAUUACAGGACUUCUUCCUGCCACCUUGUGAAGAAGGUGCUUUGCUUCCUUUUUGCUUUCCGUCAUGAUUGUAAGUUUCCUGAGGCCUCCCCAGCCAUGCUGAACUGUGAGUCAAUUAAACCUCUUUCCUUUAUAAAUUACCCAGUCUCGGGCCGUUCUUUAUAGCAGUAUGAAAAUGGACUAAUACAGCUUGUGUGAUAAUUUCACUGGAUGAUGUGAAGGCUUUUUUGAAAAUGUUCAAGGCUCUGCCCAAAUAUGUGAUGGUGGAAUUUAUUAUGAUAUGCAAAUGAUACUUAUAAUAGUGAUGUGAUUUUAUUUAUUUAUUUAUUUUUUUUGAGACAGGGUCUCACUCUGUCUCUCAGGAUGGAGUGCAGUGGUGCGAUCACAGCUCACUGCAGUCUCAACCUCCUGGGCUCAAUUGAUCCUCCCACCUCAGCCUCUUGAGCAACUGGGACUACAGGCAUGCACCAACACACCCGGCUAUUUUUUUUUUUUUUUUUGUAUUUUUUGUAGUGACUGGGUCCAUGUUGACCAGGCUGGUCUUGAAUUCAUGGGCUCAGGUGAUCCUCCUGUCUUAGCCUCCCAAAGUGCUGGGAUUACAGAUGUGAGCCACUGCACGUGGCCAGUGAUGUGACUUUGAGCAAAUAAUUUUUUAUUCUUCUAGGUCUAAUAAGGUUUUAUCCAUUAGACAGAUAAUAAUAACCAACCUCAUUAAUAGCUGAUAUCCUUUCAGAUGAACUAUUGAAAUCACUCUGCCUGGAUUAAAUGUAGUCCUCAACCAUGGCAAAAUUCAAAGUAUGACCUGCUUAACCUGACUGCUAAAUCCUCCCCUGACCCCCACCACAGUUUCCCCUCUGCUAACACCUUACAUCGCCAUGGUACUUUUGUCUAAACUCAGAGAUGGGAACUGGCGCAUUGCUUGUAACUAACCUCCAGAGUUUAUAUGGCUUUCACUUUUCCAAUCAUGUUCUGUUUCUGUUUUACGAUCCAAUCCAGGGUGCCACACUGCAUUUUGUUGGCAUGAAUCCUCAGUCAUUUCUUGUCUGUGACAGUUUUUCAUUAUUUUUUAUAGCUUUUUUUUUUUUUGAGAUGGUGUCUUGUUCUGUCACCCAGGCUGGAGUGCAGUGGUGUGAUCUCGGCUCGCUGCAACCUCCGCCUCCCGGGUUCAAGCAAUUCUCCUGCCUUGGCCUCCUGAGUAGCUGGGAUUACAGGCAUGCAUCACCAUGCAUGGCUAAUUUUUAUAUAUUUUUUUAGUAGAGACAGGGUUUUGCCAUGUUGGCCAGGCUAGUCUUGAACUCCUGACCUCAGGUGAUCUGCCUGCUUUGGCCUCCCAAAGUGCUGGGAUUACAGGCAUGAGCCACCGCGCCCGGCCUACGUUUUAUGGCUUUGAUGGUCGAGAUGUGCUGGCCAGGUAUCCUGUAGAAAGUUCCCCGAUCUGGGUUUGCUGGAUGCCUUCUCCAGAUUAUGCUGGAGCAGUUUGUUUUUGUGUGUGUUAUCCAGACUAAUCUCCUCUUGGAAUAAUUUUGCCUAUAUAAAUGUGACCCGCCGGGCGUGGUGGAUCACACCUGUAUCCCAGCACUUUGGGAGGCUGAGGCAGGUUAAUUGCCUGGACUCAGGAGUUCGAGACCAGCCUGGGCAACAUGGCAAAACCCCGUCUCUAAGAAAAUACAAAAAAUUAGCUGGGCGCGGUGGCGCACACCUGUAGUCCCAGCUACUUGGGGGGCUGAGGUGGAGGAUGGCUUGACUCUGGGAGUUUGAGGCUGCAGUGAGCUGAGAUCAUGCCACUGCACUUCAGCCUGAGUGACAGAGUAAGACCCUGUCUCUAAAAAAAUAAGAUAAAAUAAAAGAAAUGUGACCCUAGAGUUGUGUGUGAGUGAGAGAGAGAGAGAGAGAGAGAGAGUGUGUGUGUGUGUGUGUGUGUGUGUGUGUGUAUAAGAGGCAGGGUCUGUCUCUGUCCCCAGGCUGGAGUACAGUGGUGCAAUCAUAGCUCACUGCAACCUUGAUCUCGUGGUAUCAAGCAAUCCUCCUGCCUCAGCCUCCCGAGUAGCUAGGACUACAGGUGUGCACCACCACUGCUAGAUAAUUCUUUUUUUUUCUAGACGUGUGGUUUCACUAUGUUGUGCAGGCUGAAACUCCUGGCUUCGAGUGAUCCUCCUGCCUCAGCCUUCCAAAGUGCUGGGAUUACAGGCAUGAUAUACCAGGCCUAGCCCCUAGAGGUAUUAAAUGGGGGUAUUAACUUGUCUUUUUAUUCUUCAUUUAAAUGAUUGCAAAUGCUAUCCAAUCUACUCCCGAGAGGCCCCUCAGGGAGUUAGUUUCCAUUUUACAGAUGAGGCAGCCGGACCCUUCUGCAUGGCAGAGAGGACAUUCCAACCCAGAUGCCAGUGCCAGAGGCUGCCCAUAGCUCCGCUACUGUUGAGCUGCUAACAAAUUGGUUUGUCCAAGGGCAUGUUCAACUGUAACCCUCCGUUCCCCUUUGGAGAAACUUCACUAUCACCUAAUUAGGUAACAUGGUAACUGGGCAACCAUUACUUAUAAUAGACGUGGAGUUGUAAAUUAUUCUAUUUAAUUAAGAACUGCACAUUUCCUAUUAAAGGAAAGCUUAUCAUAGGUUAGUAAAUUUAUUGGGAACACUUAACUUUAGCUAAUUAAGCUGUUUGAACUCAAGGCGAGGGCAUUCAUUAAUAACCAAGCCCAAGCAGUUAAGGGCAAUUAGUGAAACAGCUGGUCUUUAUCUCACUGUUAAAGGAUGGUUAAUAGAGAUCUUUGCAGCUCUUAUAAACCUCCCCAAAGCAAUAUCUUCUUCAAAAGUUUGCAUUGGUAAAGAAAAUAGAAGAGGAAACUAAACAUAAAAGAAUGGAGUGUCGGAAGCAGUCUGGAUCUCUAGGCUCAUGAUGAUGCCAGAAAAAAAUGAAAUCCAGAGGCAUUUCCUAGUGGUCCUCAUCUUUCCUAGUGGUCUGCAUUUACCUGGGAGAGUUUGACCUCGAAGUCAGCAGUAGAUGUGUUUUAGCUCCCCCCUGGAAUCUUGGCUGCCCCAGGAGCAUGGGGCCAGGGAUGGGUCCUUUAUAUAUGCAGAGAUUAUAUGUCCUGAAAGAAAAAUGCAGGAAUGGUAACCUCUCAUUCAGAAAUGCAGCCAGGUAGCCUUAGACAAAAUGCUUUUUUUGGAUCUGCAAACGUCUCUAUGUAGAAAGUCUCACAGAGUCCUCAUAUGUCUUAUUCAGU